CCUCCUUUGUUCCGCCGUUCUUACUAUUUUUCCCUUUUCUUCCUCCUGCCCCCGCCCCGUCGCGUGAGGGAUGAAGGUUCUAUGGAUCGUAAACCUCUUUUAUAAGGGAAUAAAGUGCGGGACGUGUCCCGUUUUGUAUGUACCUUAUGAAUAAGGAUCGGCUAACUCCGUGCCAGCAGCCGCGGUAAUACGGAGGAUCCGAGCGUUAUCCGGAUUUAUUGGGUUUAAAGGGUGCGUAGGCGGCCUUUUAAGUCAGCGGUGAAAGUCUGUGGCUCAACCCUAGAAUUGCCGUUGAAACUGGGCGGCUUGAGUAUGUUUGAGGCAGGCGGAAUGCGUGGUGUAGCGGUGAAAUGCUUAGAUAUCACGCAGAACCCCGAUUGCGAAGGCAGCCUGCCAAGCCAUGACUGACGCUGAUGCACGAAAGCGUGGGGAUCAAACAGGAUUAGAUACCCCUGUAGUC
RNAcentral lists this ribosomal RNA (460 nucleotides) under uncultured bacterium. RNAcentral's name for it is "partial 16S ribosomal RNA". It matches the Rfam family "Bacterial small subunit ribosomal RNA", at positions 313 to 795 of the family's 1533-position model. The record is from RNAcentral.